UUGUUCCUACGGGACGCAGCAGUGGGGAAUAUUGCGCAAUGGGGGAAACCCUGACGCAGCAACGCCGCGUGCGGGAUGAAGUAUUUCGGUACGUAAAGCUCUAUCAGCAGGAAAGAAAAUGACGGUACCUGACUAAGAAGCCCCGGCUAACUACGUGCCAGCAGCCGCGGUAAUACGUAGGGGGCAAGCGUUAUCCGGAUUUACUGGGUGUAAAGGGAGCGUAGACGGCAGCGCAAGUCUGGAGUGAAAUGCCGGGGCCCAACCCCGGAACUGCUCUGGAAACUGUGAAGCUGGAGUGCAGGAGG
RNAcentral lists this ribosomal RNA (305 nucleotides) under uncultured bacterium. RNAcentral describes it as "bacterial SSU rRNA". It matches the Rfam family "Bacterial small subunit ribosomal RNA", at positions 333 to 655 of the family's 1533-position model. The record is from RNAcentral.